CAGAGCAGCAGCCUUGCUGCUGGAUGGGGUUUGGAUCUGAUAUGACAUUACAGCAGCUGAACUUACACUGGCUUCAGGUUCAUGUGCAUAGCAAUGCUCCCUAUAUUGCAACAGCAGCAUGCCUUAAGAAACUGAAUGUGGAGGGACCUGCCCUUUUAAACAAUGAAAAAAUGAACUGUCCAUUUUAUCCCAUUUGGAAGAGUGAGCAACAGUAACCUUCUACAGUACCUUGAUCACUUAAACAGGUAAAAGCAGCUUUGUCAUAGUGACUGUCAAAACAAACCAGUGGACUCAGAUGAAAGAGCAAGUAAACAAAUAUUUUCUGGGAAAUUUCUUCUACAUUGCCUUCAGCAAAAAUUCAGUUCUGGUAGCAGACAAAACAAAAUCAAUUUUAUUCACAAAAACCAUUCUCUUUCUUUCAAAGUGUUUGUAAAACUGUAUCAUUUGCUCUGCAAAUCAGUAACAAUAAUGAGUGAUUUUCUUCUAAAUGUUCAUAUAAUUUCUCAUCCUUAUAAUAAAUUUCAUGUGUUAUUGUC
Long non-coding RNA from Podarcis raffonei (Aeolian wall lizard), 536 nucleotides. RefSeq lists it as uncharacterized. Lineage: Eukaryota; Metazoa; Chordata; Lepidosauria; Squamata; Lacertidae. The transcript is spliced from 3 exons. The record is from RefSeq and is a predicted model, not a curated record.